ACCCUUAGAUGUUCUGGGCCGCACGCGCGCUACACUGAUGAAUGCAACGAGCUCUACCCUUGACCGAAAGGUCCGGGUAAACUUGUGAAACUUCAUCGUGAUGGGGAUAGAUUAUUGCAAUUAUUAAUCUUCAACGAGGAAUUCCUAGUAAGCGCGAGUCAUCAGCUCGCGUUGAUUACGUCCCUGCCCUUUGCACACACCGCCCGCCGCUCCUACCGAUUGAAUGGUCCGGUGAAAUCUUCGGAUUGCUGACCAAGAUCCAGCAAUGGAGCUUGGUUGCGAGAAGUUGAUUAAACCUUAUUAUUUAGAGGAAGGAGAAGUCGUAACA
This 328-nucleotide ribosomal RNA is filed under the name uncultured eukaryote. RNAcentral's name for it is "partial 18S ribosomal RNA". It matches the Rfam family "Eukaryotic small subunit ribosomal RNA", at positions 1469 to 1796 of the family's 1831-position model. The record is from RNAcentral.